CUCCCCGGAGCGGUCACCAGCACCCCCUGGGAAACGGCAGGCCUUGGCUGGUCGCCCCUUCGCUCCAGGACAGCCUGUGACUGGGUCCCCACCUUCUGGCCCCUCUGCCACUCACCAGGUAGCAAAGAAGAGAGACUGAACAUCCAGGGACCGGGUCUGGGCUCCAGCUCAGCCUCUCAGUCCUUGUGUGACUGUGGACAUGACCUUUUCCCUCACUGGCCUCAGUUUCCCCGUCUUUGUGGCAGAAGGCUCGUUUUCACUAGGCAUCGUCUUGCCCUAAUAUUUUAUUGUGUUGUCGUCUCUUUCCAUGGAAAGAAAGUUCUGGAACACCUGUUCAGCAAUGCAGUCUUCCCUCUCAACGGACCCUUCUCAACAUGACCACCUCCCCUUAACUUCCAGGCUCACUAGUCCCUGGCUGCAAAUGCCUUCGAUGCCACAAGCAAGAGGAGAGAUGCGGAGUGGGGACCGUCCCCGUGACCUGGCACCCCCUCGUCAAAGCUGUGCCCCUUUGAGUGCCCAGGGUCCUGCCAGAGCUCAGGGACUCAAAGGUGUGCCCUUUGCCUUGCUGAUCUCCUCACUUCUGGGCUGGAACAUGGAAAUGACUCACUUUACAGAUGAGGGAACUGAGGCACAGAGUGGGGAAGAGUCUUGCCUGAGUUACGCAGACCUGGCUCCUACUGGCUCAAAGAGAGGGGGCUGUUAAAGGCUCAUGGAUUUUGCAAGCCCGAUUUCACUGGCGCUUUGAACUCAGCUGCAAGUGUAAGUAUUUACACCACGGCAAUUGGCAACUGACGCAAACCAAGAUUUUGUGGUUUUUUUGUUUACUGGUUUGCUUUGUUUCUUCCUUUCAGGCAGCCGGUGGUGAAACAUUUACCAGCUCACCACUGACUGGAGGCCAGCCACAGCUUUUAGAGACAGUGUCUCUAGAAGGGUCCCUAGCUUAGAAAGUUGCAGAGAUUUUCAAGACCGCACCCUCGUCUCCAGAUCUGUCACGGAUCUGAGGCUGACGCCAAAGACAAAGAAAUUUCUUCCUUCUCUCGUGAUGCCAACAGCUAGCUUCUCUCUCUACUCCACCAUAAUAACAUCCCAUCCUGUGCAAGAAGACUGUCCCGGCUGUCCCUUGGGGCAGGGAUUAAAGGUACUACAGGGUUCAGAGCGCCUGGCCAGCUCGCCCUAACCUCUGAUACCGUGUGAUCAAUUCCAUAAAUAUUUACCAAGCUCCUCACUUAACCUCCCUGAGACUGUCCCUUCAGCUGUAAAAAAAAAAAAAAAAAAAAAAAAAAACCAAGAAAAACUC
RNAcentral lists this long non-coding RNA (1297 nucleotides) under Felis catus (domestic cat). RNAcentral describes it as "lncRNA (ENSFCAG00000053235.1)". Lineage: Eukaryota; Metazoa; Chordata; Mammalia; Carnivora; Felidae. The record is from RNAcentral.